This 1169-nucleotide ribosomal RNA is filed under the name uncultured Bacteroides sp. RNAcentral describes it as "bacterial SSU rRNA". It matches the Rfam family "Bacterial small subunit ribosomal RNA", at positions 10 to 1177 of the family's 1533-position model. Lineage: Bacteria; Pseudomonadati; Bacteroidota; Bacteroidia; Bacteroidales; Bacteroidaceae. The record is from RNAcentral.
AGUUUGAUCCUGGCUCAGGAUGAACGCUAGCUACAGGCUUAACACAUGCAAGUCGAGGGGCAGCAUUGGAGUAGCAAUACUUCAGAUGGCGACCGGCGCACGGGUGAGUAACACGUAUCCAACCUGCCGCUUACUCGGGGAUAGCCUUUCGAAAGAAAGAUUAAUACCCGAUGGUAUAAAGAGUUCGCAUGUUCUCUUUAUUAAAGAAUUUCGGUAAGCGAUGGGGAUGCGUUCCAUUAGAUCGUUGGCGGGGUAACGGCCCACCAAGUCUACGAUGGAUAGGGGUUCUGAGAGGAAGGUCCCCCACAUUGGAACUGAGACACGGUCCAAAUCCUACGGGAGGCAGCAGUGAGGAAUAUUGGUCAAUGGACGAGAGUCUGAACCAGCCAAGUAGCGUGAAAGGAUGACUGCCCUAUGGGUUGUAAACUUCUUUUAUAAGGGAAUAAAGUGAGGGACGUGUCCCUUUUUGUAUGUACCUUAUGAAUAAGGAUCGGCUAACUCCGUGCCAGCAGCCGCGGUAAUACGGAGGAUCCAAGCGUUAUCCGGAUUUAUUGGGUUUAAAGGGAGCGUAGGUUGACAUAUAAGUCAGCUGUGAAAGUUUACGGCUCAACCGUGAAAUUGCAGUUGAUACUGUAUGUCUUGAGUGUACAAGAGGUGGGCGGAAUUCGUGGUGUAGCGGUGAAAUGCUUAGAUAUCACGAAGAACUCCAAUUGCGAAGGCAGCUCACUGGGGUACAACUGACACUGAGGCUCGAAAGUGUGGGUAUCAAACAGGAUUAGAUACCCUGGUAGUCCACACAGUAAACGAUGAAUACUCGCUGUUUGCGAUAUACAGUAAGCGGCCAAGCGAAAGCAUUAAGUAUUCCACCUGGGGAGUACGCCGGCAACGGUGAAACUCAAAGGAAUUGACGGGGGCCCGCACAAGCGGAGGAACAUGUGGUUUAAUUCGAUGAUACGCGAGGAACCUUACCCGGGCUUGAAUUGCAGAGGAAUAUAGUUGAAAGAUUAUCGCCGCAAGGUCUCUGUGAAGGUGCUGCAUGGUUGUCGUCAGCUCGUGCCGUGAGGUGUCGGCUUAAGUGCCAUAACGAGCGCAACCCUUAUCAUUAGUUACUAACAGGUCAUGCUGAGGACUCUAGUGAGACUGCCGUCGUAAGAUGUGAGGAANGUGGA